This 253-nucleotide ribosomal RNA is filed under the name uncultured bacterium. RNAcentral describes it as "partial 16S ribosomal RNA". It matches the Rfam family "Bacterial small subunit ribosomal RNA", at positions 524 to 776 of the family's 1533-position model. The record is from RNAcentral.
UACGAAGGGUGCAAACGUUGCUCGGAAUUAUUGGGCGUAAAGCGCACGUAGGCGGCUUUGCAAGUCCCAUGUGAAAUCCCACGGCUCAACCGUGGAAGUGCAUAGGAAACUGCAGAGCUUGAGUACUUAAGAGGAUCGCGGAAUUCCCGGUGUAGAGGUGAAAUUCGUAGAUAUCGGGAGGAACACCAGUGGCGAAGGCGGCGAUCUGGGAAGAUACUGACGCUGAGGUGCGAAAGCGUGGGGAGCAAACAGG